RNAcentral lists this long non-coding RNA (325 nucleotides) under Olea europaea (common olive). Its description in RNAcentral is "long non-coding RNA (OEUR_LNC008220)". Lineage: Eukaryota; Viridiplantae; Streptophyta; Magnoliopsida; Lamiales; Oleaceae. The record is from RNAcentral.
AUCAUAGAAAUGGGAAGGAGUUAAACUCCUAAGUGCUUCUUAUCGAGUCAUUCAUAAUUAGUUUUCCUAUUGAACCUAGUCCAUGGGAUCUCCAGUUGCCAGGUUAGGUUUCCACUAAGAUGACUCAUUGGGUUUUAGGCUUUAAACCCAUUUCCCUCGAUGCGCAGUCUAUACGCUCUCUAGAUAACCCUUUAGUGAACGGAUCCGCUAGGUUUUCUUUUGACUUAACAAAAUCAAUUGAUAUUGUUCCAUUUGAGAGCAACUGCCGAACGGUGUUAUGUCUGCGACGUAUAUGUCUCGACUUACCGUUAUACACAAAAUUUUN